RNAcentral lists this ribosomal RNA (253 nucleotides) under uncultured bacterium. RNAcentral's name for it is "partial 16S ribosomal RNA". It matches the Rfam family "Bacterial small subunit ribosomal RNA", at positions 524 to 776 of the family's 1533-position model. The record is from RNAcentral.
UACGUAGGGUCCGAGCGUUGUCCGGAUUUAUUGGGCGUAAAGAGCUCGUAGGCGGCUUGUCGCGUCGAAUGUGAAAACUCGGGGCUCAACUCCGAGCUUGCAUUCGAUACGGGCAGGCUAGAGUUCGGUAGGGGAGACUGGAAUUCCUGGUGUAGCGGUGAAAUGCGCAGAUAUCAGGAGGAACACCGGUGGCGAAGGCGGGUCUCUGGGCCGAUACUGACGCUGAGGAGCGAAAGCGUGGGGAGCGAACAGG